UACGUAGGGGGCGAGCGUUGUCCGAAGUUACUGGGCGUAAAGCGCGCGUAGGCGGGGGAUUAAGUGAGAGGUGAAAGGCUGGGGCUCAACCCCAUGCAGUGCCUCUCGUACUGGUUCUCUUGAGGGCGGUAGGGAGAAGUGGAAUGGCUGGUGUAGCGGUGAAAUGCGUAGAUAUCAGUCGGAACACCGGUGGCGAAGGCGGCUUCUUGGGCCGUUCCUGACGCUGAGGCGCGAAAGCUGGGGGAGCGAACGGG
This 254-nucleotide ribosomal RNA is filed under the name uncultured bacterium. RNAcentral's name for it is "partial 16S ribosomal RNA". It matches the Rfam family "Bacterial small subunit ribosomal RNA", at positions 524 to 776 of the family's 1533-position model. The record is from RNAcentral.